Non-coding RNA from Anas platyrhynchos (mallard), 4284 nucleotides. NCBI's taxonomy places the organism in Eukaryota, Metazoa, Chordata, Aves, Anseriformes, Anatidae. The record is from RefSeq and is a predicted model, not a curated record.
CCCAGGUUGGUGCUGCUGCUGCCGGAGCUGCGGUGCGAGCCGAUCUCGAUGUCCCCGUAGACCUCGGGUUCUAUUCCUCACUGUGUUAUUUUCUCCCAAGUGUCUUACAUCAGUAAAGGAGGUUUGGAAUAUUUUCCCCCAAACCCACAGGGAAUGGGAAAUGUCCAUUUGAUUACUCUUCCAUCUAUUCAGACCAUCUAAUAAGGAGAGGUAAGCUGCAUAUAGGAAGUUCAGAAUACAUCUGAGUUUAGAAAUUCACUUAUUUCUGUGAUACGAUGGGGGACUGUAAUCGUUUUUGGCUAAGGAAUUGCUGACUUUGUGAAAUCUUUCAAGGCUACGGAAGUAGAUUUUUUAAAGGUGAAUAACUCCAAAGCCAGAUGUUGCCGGUGUUGCACUCGUCUCUAGAAAGCAGCUGUCAUGGCUGGGGAUCAGUCAGCCAAGACCCGGUGCACCACCUCCUAGCGACCCCAGCAAAAAAAACUCUUCCUACAGCUGGAGCUGUACAAGGACCUGGCGGAAGCCUCGGAAACACAGCCUCCCAGGUAUCUUUUUCUCACACCUUCCAGGGAGCUGAAAGGGCCUUUCAUUUCUGGUACAAAACGUUCUGGGUUUGUUUGCUAACAAAAACUUCUUUUGUCCCAACUGACUCGGACCUGACGGAAGGUCCUUGGAUAGUGCAGCAGCUUGGCCUUUGUUUUACCUUUCCCAGCUGAUGUAUCUGCCCCGUAGCUUCCUGUGCAAAGCUGCCCUGGGAUAGUGUUCCUCUUGGUAACCACGGGACCUUUUUUUCUUUGUUUAGAAAGGCGUCAGAACAGCAAAUGUGCUAAACAUCUAACUGCAUCACAGUGGUAUAAAUUACACAGACGCGAGGUAUCGAUUGUGAAAAGAUCAGAUAGUUUUAAAGUCAGUGGAUGGCUGUCAAGUUGUUAAUUGAACAUUUGCUGAAAAAUGCCUGUGGGUAAGUGAUCUAGAUACUCUUGCAGGAUUAUCAAGUUUAAAAACAACAGUUGUCUGCCACUCUCCUGCCUUGGCUACAUUUAAAGAAAUACCAGCAAGUUGAAAAUCGCAAUCCCCAAAACAUUCACACUCAGACAUCCUUACAUUACUAAUCCUUUAGACUGAUGAUACUGAAAUAAUUUUGCAACCCAAUUUAAUGACUUGCUGAUUUUAGUUACUUUUUUACUUUCAGUUAGGAAAAAGCAGAUUGUCGAGUUUCUCACUUCUGAAGGCUGUCUUUAAUAAUAAUAAUAAUUAAUUUCAAUUUGCUCUUUCCAUGUGCAGGUUCAACUUUGUAACUAUGCUGCAUACACACAUCAAAUUUACAUAUUACUUUAAAGAAAUAUCUUGCCUCCAGUUGGACUCAAUAAUUUUAAAAAAUCUUAAAGUAUUCCAUUUUAAUUGUUUCAGUAGGACUCAGGAACACACAAUUGAUGAGGUUCCCUUCUUUUUGAAAACAAGCCAACACGAUUGACAAUAUUUUGUCUCACAUUAAUUAGCUCCAGUAAAUUAAUUUCUGUCCCUUUUUAUGAAUAAGCUCAGGAGAACACACUUUUUAGUGCUGUACAGACUCGGGGUACUUUACAUAAAUUGCAGCAGCUCUGCUCUGCAUGUCCACGAGUGAUGUUACAGCUGUUGAAAACCAUCACAGUCCACAUGACCUCUUUUCUCUCAACAAGCACAUUGAUUUUCUUGAACAAAUUUUAUACUUUCUCCUUAGGUCUCAUGAGUCAGUUAUAAAUAGAUAUUCAUAAUUCAAGUUGUAUCUGUUACAGCAACAUGGGUUUCAAAGCAAACUGUUGGGGGUUUGGUGAUCUGAUGUCCUCCAUGGCACAAACAACUUGUCAUUGAACUACAGGAUAAUAUUUAAGUCUUCCUAUGCAGACCUCAAGUGGCCAUUAAGUUAUAUCCAUAAGUGAAGAGAUUCUAUAAGCUCAGCUGGACUGAAUCCUCCUGUAUGUCUGGUGAGGUCAAAUUCAUCUCAGCUAUCUAAAAGUCAGAUGGCUAAUGCAUUUUAACCUCUAGAGUUCCUCAAAAUGUGGUGAAGGGAGAGUCAUUCAUCCAUUCUACUGGUAGAUCUGAAGCUUUAUAGUGAGUAUAUUCACAGCAUAGUGAGUCUGGAUUUAUAUUACUGUUAAUAUUGGAGGAUAUAAUCUGUAGCUACAUAAUGUAGGUAUUGGUUGUACAAUUGCAACUACUAAUUUAUCUCAAUUUACAAAGAGUUACAACAUUAACUUUGUACGAGGAAGUUUAUGCCUAGUCAGAUACCAUCCACUGUCAGUGCUCAGCUCUAUGCCAGGCUGGGCAUCUUUGAUGAUUCUAUACGCAGCUUGAAACCCUCAUGCCAUUGUGGACUUGAUACUCUGUGCUCUGCUCAUGUAACAAAAGCAUUCAACUUAUGUUAAAAGAAAUGUUCAAGAUAUGCUUUAUAUUGCUUCUGUCCAUUUGUGUUCAGCUCUGGUAUUAAUGAUCACAAACUGACAGCCUAAAAUAGGCAUGACACAUUUCCAUCAGAAAAUAAACGUCUCUUUCCGCUUGCUGUAAAGGGACUCUGAAGAACUAACUUACACUUGCCCCCUUCCUUUUAGAUGGCUAAAAGAAAUACAUGCAUUUGUUUGCUCGCCUGUGUGGAUACAAUGUGACCAGUUUGUAAUUUAUCAGAAACAAAACUGAAAACUUCAGGAAACAUUUUAGGCAUUAUGAGGCCAAACCCUAACAAUUUUGCUGAAAAUCAGAAAACUGGAAGACAUCUGUACUUUAAAGUUGUUCAUUGCUCUCCAAGUGCUGUGCAACAGCUGUGGGACAGAUGCUUAGCCAGCAAGGGAAGCCAGAGAGGAGCGAAAUGAAGACAUUUCGUUUUUUCCCUCUCCCUCCUCACAAACUGUUUGUUGAUGAUAGAGAAAGAAGGAAGGCACCAGCUGUUGGGUCAUUGUUCUAGAAAGGGCAGAAUUACAGGCUGUUUAGAAGGGGGGAUUAAAAACAGAAGCCAGAAGUGUCUUUAGUACAGUGGUGAAGAUGCUGAGAGGCAGGGAUAGUAUUCCAGCCAUAGGUUCAUUGGUGCUUUAUUCAGAGGUAACCUGUCCAUUUGUAUCCAUUUUCAUCUAUACUGAUCUUCAUUCCUGUGGAAUCAUAGGAAUGAUGGUGAUUAUUAGAUUAGGUGAUUUUUGGCUCCUGCUGCCUCCCAGCCCUGAUAUUAAUCCUGCCCCUCUCUGUUCCCAGUCUGUCUCAUGCAUUAACCAUGAGAUUUCUACAUUUGCUCUUGCCUGACCCUUGUCUCCAUUUGGCCCACAUCUCACACGGAUUUGUUGCACAGUCCUCUGCUCCAUGAACUGAUGUGCUAGACACAGCUGAUGGAAAACACCCUAAUUUUACUGAUCAGAUACUGGAUCACAUGUCAGGUCAGAGAGGACUGGCUGCAGAAACUUAAUGCAGUGAGUGACUUUGCAUGCUCAGGCAUAUGGGGAUAUGUUCCUAUUGCAGGGCAGCAUGAAGGCUCUUAACACCACCCAAUGCACCUUUCCGAUUCCUCAUCACAUUACCAGACAUCGCUACUAUUUUAUCCACUGGCACUGAGGAAUACCAACAGAUACGUAUCUCCCCACUUAUUUCUCCUCAUCUUCACUUCUGCUUCCCUACAGCAGCCUACCUAACACUACCAGAUUGGCAAAUCCCAGGGACCUUCAGCAUCCCAAGCUGGAACUUGAGGUUUGUCUCCGUAUAGAAACGAGACCUAAAUAUCGAGUGGCCCCUUUUCCUGCUCUCUAGUUUCCAUCUGAAACCCUGACUGUGGAGAAUGGGCAAUAUUGAGAGAUGAGGGUCCUCGACCAGCUGCAUACACUCUGCCAAAUGUGUGACAUAUCUUCACAAGUUAGCUUGAAACUGUCUUUUUAUGUGCUUUCUCCUUUCCAAACCAAAAAGUAGGGUGAGACCUACAGCAAUUCUUUAACCUCUUUCCCCUUCAAAGUGUUCCAGAAAUGCAGAAAGCAGAGAAAGCAUUUCUCUGAUGCUCCUGGAGAAGGGAGACAGGGAGGACAGGUGGGUCUGUCUUCUCAUGACAAUGAUGACUGCCCUGGAAGGGACCAGGGGACUUUUCUACCUCUAUGCAGCAAAACUCUGGGGACCAGGAGACAGGAAAAUAAGCAGGAAACUGUCAUGUCUCCCAUUAAACAUCUCAAACACUUCAGCGCUGUCUAGAGCUUAUUGAUUCCCUCUGAGACUUGCUUUAUGCUUACUAAAUAUCAAAAAGCUUUAAAACAGACAAGCAAGCAAACAAACAAAACCAAAAAA